Molecule: ribosomal RNA, 69 nt
Filed under: Hemiboea wangiana
Lineage: Eukaryota; Viridiplantae; Streptophyta; Magnoliopsida; Lamiales; Gesneriaceae
Description: partial 26S ribosomal RNA
Source: RNAcentral
GGAAAAGAAACUUACAAGGAUUCCCCUAGUAACGGCGAGCGAACCGGGAAUAGCCCAACUGAGAAUGCG